RNAcentral lists this long non-coding RNA (245 nucleotides) under Phoenix dactylifera (date palm). Its description in RNAcentral is "long non-coding RNA (PDAC_LNC001686)". Lineage: Eukaryota; Viridiplantae; Streptophyta; Magnoliopsida; Arecales; Arecaceae. The record is from RNAcentral.
GUCUUCCGCUUCACGGAUGUGGGUAAACUUCCUCCACCAGUACUGCAGUUUGUGGAAGUCACCUUUGGGUACACCCCUGACAACCUCAUCUACAAGAACCUUGAUUUUGGGGUGGACCUUGAUUCGAGGAUAGCAUUAGUGGGACCUAAUGGAGCAGGGAAGAGCACAUUGCUCAAGCUGAUGACUGGUGACCUUGGUCCACUGGAUGGUAUGGUAAGGCGUCACAAUCAUCUCAGGAUUGCUCA